This 492-nucleotide ribosomal RNA is filed under the name uncultured bacterium. Its description in RNAcentral is "partial 16S ribosomal RNA". It matches the Rfam family "Bacterial small subunit ribosomal RNA", at positions 29 to 507 of the family's 1533-position model. The record is from RNAcentral.
AGUGAACGCUGGCGGUAGGCCUAACACAUGCAAGUCGAACGGCAGCACAGUAAGAGCUUGCUCUUACGGGUGGCGAGUGGCGGACGGGUGAGGAAUACAUCGGAAUCUACUUUUUCGUGGGGGAUAACGUAGGGAAACUUACGCUAAUACCGCAUACGACCUACGGGUGAAAGCAGGGGAUCUUCGGACCUUGCGCGAUUGAAUGAGCCGAUGUCGGAUUAGCUAGUUGGCGGGGUAAAGGCCCACCAAGGCGACGAUCCGUAGCUGGUCUGAGAGGAGGAUCAGCCACACUGGAACUGAGACACGGUCCAGACUCCUGCGGGAGGCAGCAGUGGGGAAUAUUGGACAAUGGGCGCAAGCCUGAUCCAGCCAUACCGCGUGGGUGAAGAAGGCCUUCGGGUUGUAAAGCCCUUUUGUUGGGAAAGAAAAGCAGCAGGUUAAUACCCCGCUGUUCUGACGGUACCCAAAGAAUAAGCACCGGCUAACUUCGUG